This 540-nucleotide long non-coding RNA is filed under the name Ficedula albicollis (Collared flycatcher). Its description in RNAcentral is "lncRNA (ENSFALG00000028658.1)". The record is from RNAcentral. Lineage: Eukaryota; Metazoa; Chordata; Aves; Passeriformes; Muscicapidae.
CAUCUCUAGGUGGGCUCAUUCCUGUGCUGAAUAACCACGGGGUCAGGACUACAGAAGGCAGAUAGGAGCCUAAUUUCCAGUGAGCCAGCCAACUAUCUCUGACUCAUGCUCCGAGCUGUCAAUAAGAAACAGGAAUCAACCGAGAUUAAAACUGAUCUGUCAGAAAGCAGAUUGUAUCAGAAAGAUAAUAGAAUCAAAUUAAUUUAUGAUGAGGAGAUUUCACAACAGACAACGAGGCAAUACUGAAAACCACAGUCCAAUGUAAUCCCUUUGAAGAAACGUUGUACUUAUUACAGCUGUGAUGAUUGCAAAUGUUUGGUUUAAAAGUCUGUGUUGCAGUCUGGAGGAAAAAACCCAGGCUAUUUAUGGUCUCCAGUUUUUAAAGAUGGGAGCUAAAGAAAAUAAGCCUGGAGAAAUAUGAGCUGAAGCUUAAUAUUUCCGUCUUCAUUUAAGAAGGGGUGGUUAGAAAAUAGACCUGCCAGCCUGAAGGAAAUUUGGAUGUGUCAACAUUUUGUUGGGUGUUUGAAAUUUUUGGUUCCU